CAACCCUCAAGCUCUGCUUGGUAUUGGGCGUCACCAGCGAUGGUGCGCCUCAAAGACAGUGGCGGUGCCGUCUGGCUCUAAGCGUAGUAAUUCUCUCGCUAUGGACGUCCGGCGGAUGCUCGCCAGCAACCCCUAAUUUUUAAA
RNAcentral lists this unclassified non-coding RNA (144 nucleotides) under uncultured Helotiales. Its description in RNAcentral is "sequence contains ITS2". The record is from RNAcentral. Lineage: Eukaryota; Fungi; Ascomycota; Leotiomycetes; Helotiales.